Cavia porcellus (domestic guinea pig) is the source of this 571-nucleotide non-coding RNA. NCBI's taxonomy places the organism in Eukaryota, Metazoa, Chordata, Mammalia, Rodentia, Caviidae. The record is from the annotation of a RefSeq genome assembly.
AGCCCUCACGCUGCAGCUCUGUAGAGGAGCCCAGCCCUGGUGCCCAGCUGUUCCCACACGAAAUCAGGACUGAGCACAGAUGCUCACAAUGGAGCUCAAAGUGUGCUGGGUUUUUCUUCUUGCUGUUGUGAAAGGGGUCCUGUGUGAGGAGCAGCUGGUGGAGUCCGGAGGAGGCUUGGUGCAGCCUGGGAGCUCCCUGAGACUCUCUUGCGUGGCUUCAGGAUUCACCUUCAGUAGCUACACCAUGUACUGGAUCCGCCAGGCUCCGGGGAAGGGGCUGGAGUGGAUCUCAUACAUCAGUAGCAGUAGUAGUAACAUAAAAUAUGCAGACUCCGUGAAGGGCCGAUUCACCAUCUCCAGGGACAACGGCAAGAACACGGUAUAUCUGCAGAUGAGCAGCCUGAGACCCGACGAUACAGCCAUGUAUUACUGUGCAAGAGACACAGUGUGGGGGCAUCAGUGUGAGCCCAGACAAAAUCCUCCCUGUACUGGCGCUCUGGACCAGCAGGCGGCGCGCGAGACACACAGCUCACAGUAUACCGCAGAGCACAUCUAAAAAUUGUACAAAGGA